Molecule: RNA transcript, 11556 nt
Organism: Pan troglodytes (chimpanzee)
Lineage: Eukaryota; Metazoa; Chordata; Mammalia; Primates; Hominidae
Gene: CRIP3
Gene name: cysteine rich protein 3
Exons: 14
Source: RefSeq, a predicted model, not a curated record
GGUAGAAAUUACAAAUAAGGGCUUUAUAGCUCUGCCUGUUCCAAAAGCCCAGGAGAAGAAGAGGAAAAGCCCAAUCAUUUUGGAUUUGGGAAGAGGGUGGAAUUUGACUCCUGAUUCUGUGACCUUGAGCUUCAUAGAGGAAAUGAAAGACUCCUCUAUGGAAAGGUAAGCAUUUGCAUUUGUAUGAAUCACAAGAUUAAACUGUUUUAGCCUCAUUAACAUAGCAUUAACAUAGUCUCAUGACCUGUAAGGACUAUUUUUGUAUAUUAUUUAAAAAUUACCCUCCAGACCUUAGCAUGAAGAUGAGGAAGUUACUAGGACUUUACGCCAACUCCACGGAGCAUUGCCACCAUCUAUCAGAUUUAUAAGCAAGCUGACUACCAAGUUUCACUUCUUUCUAUUCCUCCUCAGUUUCCAGCAUAUGGAUACAUUUUUCAUGCUGCAAAUUAUUUGUAGGUAGUUAUUUUUAUAUAUUUUCAGAUGAAAUACACAUUUCUAAGUGAAUACUUGAAAAGCCAAAUCCAUCUUUGCAUGAAAAACCAUCGUUUAAAGAUGUUAUUGAUUUCUUCGCAAACAUAGGUUGAAGGCACUCAUGGCAAAGGUUUAGGGUGUCCUUUCCUGCAGUCUUGAUUCUGAAUUAGUCUAGUUGAUGCCACUGAAUCACAAAAUGUAGCCUACUCAAUAUCCCUAAGCAGCUAACCACUAUUAGCUUUAUACAGAGUACUCUCAACAGGUUCAUGUAAUGGCAAGAUGAUGCUGGAAAAUGAGGGGGAAAAAAAUUAAACAGACUCUUGCUAGAGCCAUAAAUGAUGUUUAUAACUGUACAGCAGCAGUUCUCUGUGGGUGGGGUGAUUAGUAUGUUUUAAGAAAGCAAAUUCAGUCUGUUUUGUGUGUGUUUCCCUUUUUAAAAAGUAAUAUAAACUACAGAAAGUAAAGCUUUGUAGUUGGAGCAGACAUGCAGAAGAUGCAAAAGGUUUAUGGGUAAUAAGGAUUAAGAAACACAACUAUAAAGAAAUAAGACUGAUUUUUCAUUAACUUACCAGAACUGAGUGAUUUCCCUUUCAAAAGAGUUAUCUAAGAACAAAGUUCUGGGUAAUGCCUUAAAAGUCACAGGCAUGGCCGGGCACAGUGGCUCACGCCUGUAAUCCCAGCACUUUGGGAGGUCAAGGUGGGCAGAUCACAAGGUCAGGAGUUCAAGACCAGCCUGGCCAACAAAGUGAAACCCCAUCUGUACUAAAGAUACAAAAAAUUAGCCAGGCAUGGUGGCGCAUGCCUGUAAUCCCAGCUACUUGGGAGGCUGAGGCAGGAGAAUUGCUUGAACCCGGGAGGCAGAGGUUGCAGCCAGCCAAGAUCACGCCAUUGCACUCCAGCCUGGGUGACAGGGUGUGUCUCUGUCUCAAAAAAAAAAAAAAGUCACAGGCAUAUGACCAUGUACUUGAACAAGCCUAUAAAGACAUAAAUGGGUGGAGUUUGUCGUUGUAAUCAAAUUCACUGCAAAGCUAACCUGACACAUAAUAGCAGCCUUAUUUAUAAGGUUGCUUUAUAGUUUACAUAACACUUCCCCACAUUCUAUUUGCCACAUAAUUAAUGACAGACAUAAUUGUGCCACAUGCUAAUUAAGCUUAAUUAGUAAGUUCUUAUGAAUGACUACAAUUGGUGGGACUUGUUUGCUACCAAAAGCAAAUUUUCAGUUCUCUAUUAAUUAGUUACCUACUAUUUAUAAUCAGGAUCAGUUAAGUUAUAUUUUCUGUUUUGUAUCCUACAUGUUGAUCCUCAUGUAUAUUAAGAAACAAAACUCCUGGCGGGGCACAGUGACUCACAGCGCUUUGGGAAGCCAAGGCAGGAGGAUCUUUUCAGGCCAGGAGUUCGAGACUAGCCUGGGCAACAUAGUGGAACCCCAUCUCUACAAAAAAUAAAAAAUUAGCGAGGUACAGUGGCACAUGGCUGUAGUCCUAGCUACUUAGGAGACUGAUGGGGGGAUUGCUUGAGCCCAGGAGUUCCAGGUUACAGUGAGCUGUGACCUGUACUCCAGCCUGGGUGACAGAGCAAGAUCCUGUCUCUUGAAGGAAAAAAGGAAACAAAUUCCUGAGACCUUAUUCCUAGGCAGCUGAACUUCCUUCACUCCAGGACACUCGUUGUUACCAACUCUCAACCUCUACCAGUCCCCUUAUUCCCACAUCUCUCACUAGCACUCAUCUAUCACACUCAGGGGGACUUGUAUAUAACAUGUAACAUUCAUUCACCAGCAAGUAUUUGUUGAGCACUAUGUGCCAGAGAUUUGAGCAAGGCACUGGAAAUAUAUGCAAUGGUUGGCAAAGCAGCCUGGUCCCUGCUCUCAUGGAUCUCACAGACUAAGGGGGCAGACAAAGCCCAGAUUGGAGUGGAGGAGGUAGGCAGGAAGUUACCAUAUUUAUUUCACUUUCUAAACUACAACCUGUCCUUUAUCAAUAAUAAAGAUGAUGGGCUGGGUGGUGGCUCAUGUCUGUAAUCCCAGCACUUUGAGAGGCCAAGGUGAGUGGAUCACUUGAAGUCAAGAGUCCAAGACCAGCCUGGCCAACAUGGUGAAACCUUGUCUCUACUAAAAAUACAAAAAUUAGCCUGGCAUGGUGGCACACUCCUGUAAUCCCAGCUACUAGGGAGGCUGGGGCAGGAGAAUUACUUGAACCUGGGAGGCAGAGAUUGCAGUGAGCUGAGAUCAUGCCACUGCACUCCAGCCUGGGCAACAGAAUGAGACUGUCUCAAAAUAGUAAUAAUAAUAAUAAUAAUAAAGGAUCUCUGUUUGUCUUUUAUUUCUUAUUUGGUUCAGCACUCAGGGAAAACACAGCUGUCAUAGUUUGGGCCCCCUCUACCCUCCAGGAGAGGAUGGUGGUAUAGAAACAGUGCUUGGGGUCAAUAACCUGGUGUGGAGUAGUUGAGGGGGAGCUGAGGUUAGGCAGGAAUUGAUGAGGUGAAGAUACUGGGGAAGUGAAUUCUCAGAAAAGAUGGCCUUUGCAAAAGCCCUGAGGCAGAAUAGAACUUAACAGAUUCAAGAAGCUCAUUUGAUGUGGUUGGAGGGGUCGAUGCAACAGGAGAAAUGGCUAGAAGACUGGAAAAGUGGAGGGUCCUGUCUUGAGGAUACUGAGAAAUCAUGGAAAGGUUUUAAUGACAUUUCCCUGCCCCUUGCAUCUCAACCCAUUAUUUUCCUGGAUAGGCCCUCUUAUCUUCAGGUAUGGAGGUGCUGUGCAGACAAGUGUAGUGUCUUUUCAGGUUGAAACACAUGGGCAAAAACCGUGCUUACGGGGGUAUAGAGUGGAAAGAGUAUGGGCUCAAGAGUCAGAAUGCUUGGGUCUGUAUGAUGUUUUACACAUUUCUUUUUUUCUUUUUCUUUGAGACUGAGUCUUGCUCUGUCGUCCAGGCUGGACUGCAGUGGUGCGAUCUCGGCUCACUGCAACCUCCACCUCCCAGGUUCAAGCAAUUCUCAUGCCUCAGCCUCCUGAGUAGCUGGGAUUACAGGCACCUGCCACCACGCCCAGCUAAGUUUUUUGUAUUUUUAGUAGAGACGGGGUUUCACCAUGGUGGACAGUCUGGUCUCGAACUCCUAACCUCAGGUGAUCCUCCCACUUCGGCCUCCCAAAGUGCUGGGAUUACAGGCAUGAGCCACCGCACCUGGCCAAAUGUUUUACUAAUUUCGUAACCUUACCAAGCCACUUUCUUUUUUAUACAAUUGGGAAUGUAACAUUUCUACCCUUCAUCAGCUCUAGUAAUGCCCUCUUUCUAACACAAGUUUCAAGCUCCUUUUUGGGAAAGGAAUCACAGAAUCAUAAUUGUUAAAUCAUGAAGAGGCUUUAAAGUUCUAUCUGCCUAUGAUAUUUGGAUACCUUCUGCAACACUGAGGAUCAGUUGGUUUAUUGUCCAGUAUUGUGUCCAGAAACAGGAAGCUCACCACUGUCUGAAGCAGCCACUCUAUGUUGGGGCCCUAUUGAAAGGGUUUUGGAGGGGACCUAAUCCAAAUCUGCUUCCCUGUGUUCUCUCUCCAGGGGUCUUGGUAGUACCCCUAAUGCCUUUUCCAUGUGACAGCCCUCCAGGGACUAGAAGUCAUUAUCUCUACGGGACCACUUACUCACCUAGAAUGGAAAAGCUUGUUUCUUCAGCUUUUCUAACAACACUAAUCAAACGGUCAAUUCCUCGAGCAAACACAAUCCUGAAACAUUUAUGUACCUAAUAAUAGAGCUUAAAAACAUGAAGUAAAGUUAGUGGGAGAGUUUAAUAAUAAUAGCUAUCAUUUACUGAUUACCUAUACUGCACUCACUGUUAAAGAUACACAGAUAAUUCUCCAUCAGUUCUGUCAAAGUCAAACAAGUAAACAAGUGUCAUACAAUGUUACAGAUACUGUAACGGAGAGGUCUGUGCAGGAAAAAGGCAGGGCGAGCACUAAGGGAACAGUGGUCUUUGUGAGAAAGAGGCCUGCCUCUAAUGGGAGAUGACACAAACUGCACCUUAACAAUUGAGUAAUACCUUCUUUGAGGUGGACUUACCCAUUUGUAGUAUUUAUUAAAAUAUCAUUUUAGAGACUUUAGUCACACCAACUGUUCUUCAAAACAUCCACUGUCAGUAACUCAAAUGCAUUCCUACAAGAAAUGUGUUUUCCCAGUUAUUCUUUACAUAGCUUCUGUUCGAGUCAAUAAUGGAAACCAGGCAAGGAAGAAAAGUGGACUACUGUAAUUUGCUGUACCUGCAAAUGCAUAGUGCAAGUGUUUGGAAGGGUGGAGCCGCAACUAGUCUUUCCUAAGCACUGAAAUAGAAGAGCCGAAGCAUAUUGUGAGAUUAGGCCAUACAAUAAAGGCCCUACAAGAUGUGGGGAGCAGUAAAGCAUUUGCGCCACCGACUGAUUGCAAGCUAUGUGAAAGCAACAUGGGACUCACACCGCAAGGUUUGUUCCUUUGUGUUGGGCCCUGUGCUAGAUGCUGGGGUAAAGAUGACCUGCCCAGGCAGAUAAGGCAAGCACACAAGGUAAUCCAAGACAGAAAGUGCUAGAGAACCUUGGAAAAGGAUUAUUUGAUGUGUCCUGGAAGUUCUGAGAACCUGGGAAGAUGAAAUUAGCCUUCCUUGAGGAGGCAGCAUAUCUAAGAAUAAACAUACUGAUGCAGUCCUCCCAACCUCCUGAAGUGGGUACUUCUCUCUGAGAGCCAUAGGGAGCAAAUUCAGUAAACCUGAGGAAGAAACUAAUGACUCGAAGAUGUACAAGUGGCAAACAGGUAUAUGAAAAGAUCAUCAACAUAAUUGAUCAUAACAGAAAUACAAAUCAAAACAGAUAACAUCUCACCCAAGUUAAAAUGGCUUUUAUCCAAAAGAGAGGCAAUAAGAAAUGCUGGCAAGGAUGUAGAGAAAAGGGAACACUCAUACACUGUUGAUGGGAAUGUAAAUUAGUACAGCCACUAUGGAGAAGAGUUUAGAGGUUCCUCAAAAUCUAAAAAUAGAGCAUAGCAAUAUACGAUGUAGCAAUCUCACUACUAGGUAACCACAAAAACUAAAAAUUAUUUUUUGAGACUGAGUCUCACUCUGUUGCCCAGGCUGGAGUGCAAUGGUGUGAUCUCAGCUCACUGCAACUUCCGCCCAGGUUCAAGCAAUUCUUGUGCCUCAGCCUCCUGAGUAGCUGGGAUUACAAGCGUGCACCACCAUGCCUGGCUAAUUUUUGUAUUUUUGGUAGAGACAGGAUUUCACCAUGUUGGCCAGGCUGGUCUCCAACUCCUGACCUCAAGCGAUCCACCCACCUCAGCUUCCCAAAGUGCUGGGAUUACAGGCGUGAACCAUCGCAUCCGGCUUCAUUUCUUUUUUAAAUAAUUUUUAGGCCAGGCACGGUGGCUCACACCUGUAAUCUCAGCACUUUGGGAGGCCGAGGCACAUGGAUCACUUGAGGUCAGGAGGAGUUCGAGACCAGCCUGGCCAACAUGGUGAAACCCCGUCUCUACUAAAAAUACAAAAAUUAGCUGGGCGUGGUGGCGCACACCUGUAGUCCCAGCUACUCAGGAGGCUGAGACAGGAGAAUUACCUGAACCCAGGAGGCAGAGGUUGCAGUGAGUCGAGAACGCACCACUGCACUCCAGCCUGGGCAACAGAGCGAGACUCUGUCUCAAAAAAAAAAAAAAAAAAGAAAAAGAAAAAAGAAAAAAAAAAACAAGAAAUGAGAGGCAGAAACAAGACAGGAAAAUUCAGUGGAAGCUAAAACUAAUAUUUUUCAAAUUUGUUAAAGAAGAAGCCUUUCAAGAAACAGUUAUAAAACUAAGGAUCUUGAAAUAUUCCCUGAAACAAGAAACAAAUAAUGAGAAAGUGUAGAAAAAUUACAGUGUGGAAGGCUUCUACCCUUAGAACUUAAGAAUGAUAAAACAAGUGUUAUAAGUAAAAAGGAUUGAUGGAGACAAUUCAGGAACAGGAAUAUCCAGUGGAAGUUCAUAGACCCCAGUCCCUACCCCAUUACCCAGAUGAAGGAACUGAUGUCCCAAGAGGAGACACUUAAGACAGUGCUCCUUUCACCUAGCAGAGCACAGCACUGCAGUCCAUUGAUGAAUUUCGUGCAAGCCCUUCCUCAACGGAUUUGAUGUAACAAAGGAACUUACUCAAGAAAACUCGGUUUCACUUCCAUCCUUCAUAGAGGGAUUGAUUAUUGUCUCCUCUGCUGGGACACUGGCACAAGUUUAUCAGCUCUUCCCUCCAGCUCUUCAUUGGCUACCUUUCCCCCCAGUCCCCCUGCCUUUUUUUUUUUUUGAGACAGUCUCACUCUGUUGCCCAGGCUGGAGUGCAGUGGCGUGAUCUCAGCUCACUACAGCCUCAACUUCCCGGGCUCAGGUGAUUCUCUCACCUCAGCCUCACAGGCACAUGCCACCAAGCCCAGCUGAUUUUUUGUAGAGAUGAGGUUCGCCAUGUUGCCCAGGCUGGUCUCUAACUCCUAGGCUCAAGUGGUCCACCUGCCUCAGCUUCCCAAAGUGCUGGGACCAGGCGUGAGCCACCACUUCUGGCUGCCUUUUUUCUUUAAAGUAGUUUUCUUCAGGUUCUAUUGUUGUUGUUGUUGUUAAGACAUUACCAUAUACCAUAAAAUUCACCUUUUUAAAGUCUACAGUUCAUGCUUUUUAGUAUAUUCCCAAGGUUGUACAAACAUUACUGCUAUCUAAUUCCAGAACAUUUUUAUCUUCCCAUAGAGAAGCUUCGAACCCAUUAGUGGACAUUUCCAAUUCCAUCUCCUUGACUGGCCAACCACUAAUCUACUGUCUGUCUCUGUGGAUUUACCUAUUCUAAAUAUUUCAUAUGAAUUGAUUCAUAUGAUAUGUGGCCUCUUGUGUCUUGCUUUUCUUACUUAAUGUUUUUAUGGUUUACCUGUGUUGUAACAUGCAUCAGUAUUACAUUCUUUUUUACAGUUGAGCAAUAUUCUAUCAUACAGAUAUACUACAUAUUGUUUAUCCAUUAUCAGUUAAUGAACUUUUGGGCUGUUUCUACCUUUUGACUAUUGUAAAUAGUCCUGCUAUGAACAUUCAUGUACAAGUUUUUGUAUAGACAUAUGUUUUCAUUUCUCUUAUAUACCUGGGUAUAAACCUGGAAGUGGAAUUGCUGAGUCAAAUGGUAACUCUAUGUUUAACUUUUUGAGGAACUGCCAGACUGUUUUCCAAUGUGGCCACACCAUUUUAUGUUGCCACCAACAAUGUAUGAGGGAUCCAAUUUUGCCACAUUCUUGCCAACAUUUGUCUCUUUAAUUAUAGCCAUCCUAGUCAGUAUAAAAUGGUAUCUCAUUGUGGUCCUAAUUUGCAUUUCCCUAAUGACUAUUGAUAUUCAGCAUCUCUUCAUGUGCUUAUUGGCCAUUUGUGUAUCUCUAGAAAAACAUCUAUUCAAAUACUUUGCUCACUUUUAAUUGGGUUGUCUUUUUGUUAUUGCAUUAUAAGUUAUUUAUAUAAUCUGGUUACUAGAUCCUUAUCAGAUUUGCAAAUAUUUCUUCCAUUCUCUGGACUUAAAUUUCUUGAAAUAUCCUUUGAAGCACUAUUGAACUACUUUUUUUUUUUCCACCAGUUGUCAAAUGAUCCUUUAUUGAAAUAUUUUCCUUUGUGCUUAACUGGCUGGGCAUUCCACAGAACCACUGUUGAUAUCAUCUAUGAUGUCAUGAGGGUGGCAGCCAUCAACAUUACAGCCCACAGACUGGGCAGUCCCCAUGAUCUCUUUAAUGGUGCCAGAGAGUCUAUUGAACUACUUUUAACAAAUAUUUAUCUGGGCAUGGGGCAUAUACCUGUAAUCCCAGCACUUAGGGAGGCCCAGGCAGGUGGAUCGCUUGAGCCCAGAAAUUCGAGACCAGCCUGGGCAACAUGGCAAAACCCCAUCUCUACAAAAAAUACAAAAAUUAGCCAGGUGUGGUGGCAUGUGUCUGUAGUCCCAGCUACUCCAGAGGCUAAAGUGAGAGGAUCGCUUGAGCCGGGCAGGUGGAGGCUGCAGUGAGCUACGAUGCACCACUACAUUCCAGCCUGGGCAACAGAGACCCUGCCUCAAAUAAAUACAUUCAUUAAAAAGACAAAUAUUUAAAAAUUUUAAAGCAAACCAGAUUAGAAAUGUGUAGUUGUUCAUUUUUAUUUAUUUAUUUAUUUUGAGAUGGAGUCUCGCUCUUGUCCCCCAGGCUGGAGUACAGUGGUGCGAUCUCGGCUCACUGCAACCUCCACACCUCCCAGUUCAUGCGAUUCUCCUGCCUCAGCCUCUCGAGUAGCUGAGAUUACAGGCAUGCGCCACCACGCCCAGCUAAUUUUUGUAUUUUUAGUAGAGACGCGGUUUCGCCUUGAUGGCCAGGCUGGUCUUGGACUCCUGACCUCAGGCGAUCCGCCCACCUUGGCCUCCCAAAGUGCUGGGAUUACAGGUGUCAGCCACUGUGUCCAGCCACCCUACAGCUUUAGGAGUAAACGAUUGUAUACAGACCAUGUUCUGAGGCUUCCAAACCGAGUCUUGAGUUCAUUAAGGGAUCCAUCAUAGUGAUAGCUAUAGCUGUUACAGCGUUUACAUGCCAGGCGCUGUUUGGGCACUCUACAUGUAUUAACCUAUUUAACUCUCAUAACAAUCCUAUGAGGCAGAGACUGUUAUCAUACUCAUUGCACAGAUGAGAAAAUGGAGGCAGAGAGGGAGGUUCAGUAAUUUGCCUGAAGUCAAAUAGUAGGGUACCAGAGACGGGCUCCAGAUUUUGUUGCUUUCAACCACUUGCUAUACUGCCAAGGUGGAAUUUUGCAUUUCAAAGAAUGCCUACUCCCUCGCUUUGGAGAGAGUAGUGUUUUAAUGAUGUCUGCACUGUGGACAUUUUUCCUGUCCUUACCGCUCCAGAAACUAGUAGAGCUCCCUGUCCAGGUGUCUUCGUUACACAUGUGCCUUCCUAGUCUGGAGUCCACGGCUUCAAGAUCCUCUCUCCUCCCCGUGGGUCUGACCGAGGCUUUAAUGCUCUUUGAAGUAACAGCGAAAUAGCCCUUUGUCUCUCAAGUGGAGUGGUUCUAAAUUUCUGAUAACCAAUGAGCGCCGAGGAACCGCGGAUUCCGCCCAGGGAGGCUCAAAGCUGAGCCGUGGGUGGAGCCUGCGGAGGGGGCGGAACUGAGCCGCAGCGGCGUACCUACUGUGUGCCGCGUGCGCUGCCUGGAGCGGAGCUAUGAGCUGGACCUGUCCGCGUUGCCAGCAACCUGUUUUCUUCGCUGAGAAGGUGAGCUCCCUGGGCAAGAACUGGCACCGCUUCUGCCUGAAAUGUGAGCGCUGCCACAGCAUCCUGUCCCCUGGCGGGCAUGCAGAGCACAAUGGGAGGCCAUACUGCCACAAGCCAUGCUAUGGGGCUCUCUUUGGACCCAGGGGGGUGAACAUUGGUGGUGUAGGCUCCUACUUGUACAAUCCCCCCACUCCCAGCCCUGGCUGCACCACUCCUCUCAGCCCCAGCAGCUUCAGCCCUCCCAGGCCAAGGACUGGCCUCCCACAAGGCAAGAAAAGCCCUCCCCAUAUGAAGACAUUCACUGGGGAGACCUCGCUGUGCCCUGGCUGUGGGGAGCCCGUCUAUUUUGCUGAGAAGGUGAUGUCAUUAGGCAGAAAUUGGCACCGACCGUGUCUGAGGUGCCAGCGUUGCCACAAGACCCUGACUGCUGGGAGUCAUGCUGAGCAUGAUGGAGUCCCCUACUGCCACAUCCCCUGCUACGGCUACCUGUUUGGCCCCAAAGGUGUGAACAUUGGCGAUGUGGGCUGCUACAUCUAUGACCCAGUGAAGAUAAAAUUCAAAUGAGACGCUCACAAAAAAGGGAACAGCCUGUUUUGAAGGGUGUCCUCCUCCUGGCCAUCACAACCCCUUUCCCCAGCACAUUCUGGAGCUUCAAGCUAAGAAAACUAGGACUUCUUUCAGUUGGUCUUCCCACCCACCUUCAGGCCAGGAGACCUCAAGCCAGCACCCACCAGAGGACAGGGCCCCCAUUCUGACAGAGUACCAAUCAGAGUUUCUCGCCCAGGCUGGAGUGCAAUGGCAUGAUCUCAGCUCACUGCAACCUCCAUCUCCCAGUGGUGGGGAUGGAGAUGCUCAUGGCAGCUGAGACGAGUGGGUCUCGAAUGAUGGAUGUGGCCCCCUGGAGCCAGCUGCCUGCAGUCCUCACCAGAGGCUGAGGAUGCCUGGGGCACAAGGCAGGGUGACAGCUAGCAGAAGCCAUCGCCAGUCCCGUAUCAGCCCUCUAGGUCCUGCCUGUUUCUUGCCUGCCUCACCCAGUGGCAUCACGAUGAUGGUAAAACCAGCCAGGGCUGAGCCAGUAAGGGUGCGGGUGAUGGCGAACAUUACAUAGCUGACGGAGGCUGCAGAUGCCAGGCCCAGCACCAGGGUACUCACAUAGGCUACCAGCAGCAGACGCCGCCGCCCAAACCUGCAAAGGGGUCAUGCAGGGUCAGUUCCCUGUGGAAGGAGGUUCUAAGGCAUAGGUAGACUAGGCUCAUACCCCAGCUAGUGGGAGAAAGUUCCCCCAGCCAGUUUCUUAUUGGCCCAGUGCCUCACCCCACCUGUCGGACAGAUAUCCAAAGGCCACAGCCCCCACCAGCACACCGGCGAAGAAGAAAGUGGACGCAGCUCUGUUCAGACCUUUCUGCUCACACACCAGAUCCCACUGCAAGGACAGGCAGAAAGGGACCUCCCAUGAACAUCAGCCCCUCUCCAGCAGGCACCAGCUCCUCCUCUCCAGACCCUGGAGCCUUCUGAGGCGAACUCUGCCAUUCUGGUACCUCCAUGCCAGAUAAUAAACCUCCCAACGAUUCACGCCAGCUUGGGGAAUAGGAAACUUUGUCCCUCCCCAGUCCUGCAGCCUCAGCUUCUUCCCAAGGAAGGCCUCGACCUGCUGCCUCCCAGGGAGACUGCCUCCACCGACAUUCCACCUCCAGAUGGAUUAUGUAAAUACCGACCUGGGACUGGAAAAGAGGAAGGGAGAAAAGAAGGCCUCUAUUGUUUCUCCACCUCUUGCUGCAGAAAUUGCCUUCUCAGCUCUUUGUCUCAACUCCCUGAAGCCACUUUAGCCCUUCCCUGCCUUAAUCACCUCCCAAUUAAUGAUGAUGAUAACAGUU